Molecule: small nuclear RNA, 93 nt
Organism: Heterocephalus glaber (naked mole-rat)
Lineage: Eukaryota; Metazoa; Chordata; Mammalia; Rodentia; Bathyergidae
Gene: U2
Rfam family: U2 spliceosomal RNA
About the family: U2 is a small nuclear RNA (snRNA) component of the spliceosome (involved in pre-mRNA splicing). Complementary binding between U2 snRNA (in an area lying towards the 5' end but 3' to hairpin I) and the branchpoint sequence (BPS) of the intron results the bulging out of an unpaired adenosine, on the BPS, which initiates a nucleophilic attack at the intronic 5' splice site, thus starting the first of two transesterification reactions that mediate splicing.
Source: Ensembl
ACCGCUUCUCGGCCUUUUGGCUAAGAUCAAAUGUAGUAUCUGUUCCUAUCAGUUUAAAAAAUCAUGGGCUAACAAUGAGGACAGUGACACUUA